Molecule: ribosomal RNA, 460 nt
Filed under: uncultured bacterium
Lineage: Bacteria
Description: partial 16S ribosomal RNA
Rfam family: Bacterial small subunit ribosomal RNA
Source: RNAcentral
CCUACGGGAGGCAGCAGUGAGGAAUAUUGGUCAAUGGCCGGAAGGCUGAACCAGCCAAGUCGCGUGAAGGAAGAAGGAUCGAUGGUUUGUAAACUUCUGUUAUAGGGGAAUAAAGGUAUCCACGUGUGGAUAUUUGCAUGUACCCUAUGAAUAAGCAUCGGCUAACUCCGUGCCAGCAGCCGCGGUAAUACGGAGGAUGCGAGCGUUAUCCGGAUUUAUUGGGUUUAAAGGGUGAGUAGAUGGGUUGUUAAGUCAGUUGUGAAAGUUUGCGGCUCAACCGUAAAAUUGCAAGUGAUACUGGCAGUCUUGAGUACAGUUGAGGUCGGCGGAAUUCGUGGUGUCGCGGUGAAAUGCUUAGAUAUCACGAAGAACCCCGAUUGCGAAGGCAGCUUACUAAACUGUGACUGACAUUGCUGCUCGAAAGUGUGGGUAUCAAACAGGAUUAGAUACCCUUGUAGUC